This 470-nucleotide long non-coding RNA is filed under the name Marmota monax (woodchuck). The record is from RNAcentral. Lineage: Eukaryota; Metazoa; Chordata; Mammalia; Rodentia; Sciuridae.
GCGGAAGUGAGGAGUCCCGGCCAAAGGCGCUCGCUGGAGCCUUCUUUCUGGGCCGGACCCCAACCCAAGCGGCCGAACGGAGCCCCCCGCCCGGAUCGCAGGUAACAAAAGAAAUACAAACCAGUACACCGUCUUCUGGGGGAAGGGGGACAGGAUGGGAAACCUUCUGUAACUUGGUCAUCGGCAGAGAAACUUUAUACAAUUCCAUGAGAAAUUUUAUUAUUUUUUUUCCGACAGAAAAAAAGCAGAAAGAAUAGGGUGGGGGUGUAGAAGUAGAAAAAGGCGAGACUCGGCGCAUUCCAGCCCCUCUUCUUUUAGCUGCUGCAGCCGGAAGGCGCGCUUGAUGCCGGCAGAAGCGAAGGAGGUGAAGUUCAUUUGUAGACAUGGAACCCUUUGGGGGGGGGGGGCGGGGGAGCCCAGGGAAUGAAUCAGUUCUCACAGCCCCUUAAUACACACACACACACACACAC